UACUGGGCGGAGCUGAGCUGCCGGUGUCAGACAACACUAGCCACUUGUCGCAGCCACAGGUAGCAUCCACCACCAUCAACAUGUACAAACUGCUCCUUGUCGUGCUGGCCGUGCUCGCCGCCGCCUCCGCCCAGUACGUCAGCCCCUACUACGGCUACGGUGGAGCGUACCGCAGCGGCUACUACGGCGGGUACGCCGCUCCCUUGGCCUACGGCAGGUCCGUGGGAUACGGCUACGGCGGAUACCUGUACGGCUGAACGUUGCAGUGUCUGGUCUGUUGACAGUGUGGAAUAUUUCUUAUCUAAAUAUUGUACCAGUAUUUGCAUCAUGAAAUAAACUUCUUUGUCAAUUUAUAAUUUAAUAUUUUAUUGAACAUUAAAAAAUUUAUAUUGAUAUUCAUAAAAAAUGUUUACAAAAUAUUAUUUAUAAAAAAUGUCUAUAGUAUAAUAAAUUACGAUAUGGAUACUAAAUUACAGAAUAUAAGUUAUUUUUGUUAGCAUAUAUAUUGAACUAUAAGUAAAGCCCUUGGACAAACAUGAAAAAAAAAAAUCUAAUUAAAAAUGUAUUACAGGUUUUACAGAAAAUGAACCAAUAGGGAACCAUUAUGCUUUUAAAUAGAACCUGAUGGGCUAAACACAGAUUCAUACCAAAGCACAUUUUAAAGGAAAAGUCUUUCGAUGAGAUAAUAUAUUAAG
Molecule: long non-coding RNA, 695 nt
Organism: Bacillus rossius redtenbacheri
Lineage: Eukaryota; Metazoa; Arthropoda; Insecta; Phasmatodea; Bacillidae
Exons: 3
Source: RefSeq, a predicted model, not a curated record